This 433-nucleotide ribosomal RNA is filed under the name uncultured bacterium. RNAcentral's name for it is "partial 16S ribosomal RNA". It matches the Rfam family "Bacterial small subunit ribosomal RNA", at positions 29 to 507 of the family's 1533-position model. The record is from RNAcentral.
AACGAACGCUGGCGGCAUGCCUAACACAUGCAAGUCGAACGAGACCUUCGGGUCUAGUGGCGCACGGGUGCGUAACGCGUGGGAACCUGCCCUUAGGUUCGGAAUAACUCCCCGAAAGGGGUGCUAAUACCGGAUAAUGUCUUCGGACCAAAGAUUUAUCGCCUUUGGAUGGGCCCGCGUUGGAUUAGCUAGUUGGUAGGGUAAAAGCCUACCAAGGCGACGAUCCAUAGCUGGUCUGAGAGGAUGAUCAGCCACACUGGGACUGAGACACGGCCCAGACUCCUACGGGAAGCAGCAGUGGGGAAUAUUGGACAAUGGGCGAAAGCCCGAUCCAGCAAUGCCGCGUGAGUGAUGAAGGCCUUAGGGUUGUAAAGCUCUUUUACCCGGGAUGAUAAUGACAGUACCGGGAGAAUAAGCUCCGGCUAACUCCGUG